GACACAGCGGAGAUGGCGCGUGUGCUGAAAGCCGCGGCCGCCAACGCCUUAGGUGAAUACCGGGCGCCAGCACAGGUCGCCGUGGGUCAGGGCAUGUGGGAACGGAGGCCAGGGAGAGAAGGAGGCCUCAAUGUGGCCAAAGCACCUUGAUGAUGCGCUCUGUCCCCUGGGGCGCAUUCUGCGGCCACUGCCGGCACCUGCAGAGGGUACCUUCCAGAAACGCCUCAGCUUAGCGCGGGGAUGGCCUUCUCGUGCAUGAGUCCCACUGCCACCCGGGAGCUGUGCGCCCUGGGCGCAGCACCUUCCAGUUUGUGGGCUGGAGAGGCGGGGGGAUCUUGCCCAGCGGGUCCCACAGGACAGGGACGGAAGUAAAUGGAAGCCGGUAGACUGGCUGCUGUAAGUUGAUCUGGUGCCUCGGUCACUCAUGGCUUCUUUCUUCUCUGCCAGCUCUGUCUUCUCUACACUUCCUCUGGAGGAGGAGGCCUUGACACAAUUACAUAGACGGGGUUUCACCGCGUUAGCCAGGAUGGUCUCAAUCUCCUGACCUCGUGAUCCACCCGCCUUGGCCUCCCAAAGUGCUAGGAUUACAGGCGUGAACCACGGUGCCCGGCCGAUUCUUAUCAUCUUAAGAUUGAAGGUUUAUGGUCAAAAUGCUAGUUGAGAAGUUACUGGGUAUGACUUCUAGUAUCCUGUUGAACAGAAGAGGACACAAUUGGAGAAACUGGUUAUUUUGCCAAGGCUUUGACUGGAAAGGUCCAGGAGCACCAAGUUUAUCUUGGGACCUUAAGAGGAGAGGAUCACCCAACUAACAGACUAACUCUACUUGUUCCUGUUAACCAACCAGCAGUCUCCAGCUGCAGCUCAGAAAGAACAAGAGAGAUGGGACACAAUUGAAGACAUUGGUUAUUCUACCAAGGCUUUGACUGAAAUGACAUAUAUUUUGACACACAGGAGGUUAUUUCUGAGAGAAAGCCAGCCUGGUGGACUGGAUGAAAGUCACUGUAAGAUCUGUUGAUCCUGAGAAGAGGGAUUGCACAACUCCACCUGUCAAUGGCAAGUGGAGCACCCAGAUGAUGCAGCUGAUAGACUUCCUAUGCAAGCCAUGGGGGAUUAGCCUGAUGACGGGAAUAUUAACCUUACUUUUUGACUUUGGGUUUUGGCUAUUAAGUUGUUUAAAAGGGUUUUUAGAAUUAAUGGGUGCCUACCCACCUUCAUUCCUGUCUGGCCUAACAUGUUUACUUGGAUAUAAGUCUUUUCACUCUAAGUCUCUUGGCCAUAGGUAGCCUCACUGAGAGACAGGUUGGACUCAGGCCAAGUAGCCACAGUAACCUGGCAAUAAUAUGGUACAAAAUAAAAGCUUUGCCACUGAUGCUCUGUCUUGCGUGUCUUGACCAUGAGGGGUCAAACUAAAAUAAAGUCCUAAGUGCCCUACUGACUGAAUGGACCUACUUGUGCCAAAGGGACCACAGUUGUCAAGACACAACCUUACCUAGGAAUAGGUCUUUUCUCUUGCUUUGCUGAAGACACAAUAGCCCCCCUAAAGAACCAAGUCCUGCUGAAGACCUGAAAAUCCCACCUGGGUGAAGGCCAGCUGCAACCACAAUGGUCCAGUCCUUUUGAGAUGCUGCUGAUCACCCCCUCAUCUGUCAAGUUAGCCAGCAUUAAACCAUGGAUUCAUAACACUUGGUUAAAACCUGUCCCUCUGGGAUCCCUACAGGAAAAACAAUCACAGUCUUAACCUCAGUGAUUGGCUUUCUGUAAGGCAAACAGUCACAGGAUUUGUGUAUGUGAUUUUUAGCAAGUUCAGCCUUGUAGCUACUGCAGAUGAGAGUCUUUUUAAGAGCACAGAUAAAUUUUUCUGGUCACUUACGCUGCACUUGAGCUAGGAAUUCUAAUCCCUGAUAUCACUCUUUCAGCACUUUGUCCAGUAACUUUAGAAACAACCAGCCAACCUCAUUAAUCAUGUGUCACUUAACAAUGGAGAUACAUUCUUUCAAAUGUGUUCUUAGAUGAUUUCGUUAUUGUGUGACAUCACAGAGUGUACUCACACAAACCUAGAUGGCAUAGCCUACUACAAACCUAGGCUGCAUAGUAUAGCUUAUUGCUCCUAGGCUACAACCUGUAAAGCAUGUUACCAUAUUGAAUGCUGUAGGCAAUUUUAACACAAUGUUAAGUAUUUGUGUAUCUAAAAAUGUCUAAAUAUAGAAAAAGGAAUGCAUUGAACUAUGACCUUAUGACAGUGUAUCACUAGGCAACAGAAGUUUUUUAGCUCCAUUGUAAUCUUAUGGGACUACUCUUAUAUAUGUGGUCUGCUGUUGAUCAAAACCUCAUUAUGUGGCACAUUGCUGUAUAUUUGUCAUUUCUCCAAAAGUGUUCAGAAUUAUAUGCACAUUGAUACAGCUUCUUGCUUCUUCUAAGUGUUUGAUUAGUAGUAUCCGAUGAAGAUAUUUGUAUAUCUCUAUUGCCAGAUCAUGUCAUAGACUAUCUGUGUUUUCUUUACUACUAUAAAUACAGUGAUUGGUGCCUUUAAAUCUAAUCAGAUUAGAGGGUCAAUUCCAGAAACCCCAAAAUCAAUUCAGAAAACUCAUUCUUAAAAUUCUGUUCCUCCAGAACCACUCUUGUUACAAAAAUCAGUGUUCUCCACAGAAACAGAGCCAAUAGGAGAUAGACUGGAUAGAUAGAUAGACAGAUAGAUAGAGAGAUAGAUGAUAGAUAGAUAGAUAGAUAGAUAGAUAGAUAGAUAGAUAGAUAGACAGACAGACAGACAAGAUUGCAAUCCUGUGUACUGGGAGACCUGAUGGUAUAAAUUCCAACCUGAGCCUGAAGGCAGAACGAGACUCAUGUCCCAGCUUAAAGACCUGCUGGGAGAGAGUGAAUUUGCUCUUAAUCAUCUUCUUGUUUCUGUUCAGGACUUCUUGGAUUGUAUCAGGCCCACCCACACUGGAAAGCACAAUCUUCUUAGUCACCAAUUCAAAUGUUUAGCUCAUCCACAAACAUGCUCACAGGCACACCCAGAAUAAUGUUUAAACAAAAAUCACAACCCAUGAUUCAGUCUAGCUGACACAUGAAAUUAAUUCUCACAUGCAUUUAAACCAUUUUAUUGAGUAUUUGGUCCCAUGCUGGAGUAAUUUUGCAUUAACCUGAUCAUCACUGACAUUGAGUGCAUUUUCAUAUGUUUAUUGACAUUUCAAUAUGCACUUUUGUAAUGUGUCUACUGGAAAGUCUACAUUUUUCUUAUUGAUUUUAGGAGUUUUACAAAUAUUAUGCACAUUUGUGGAUAUAUGUAUUAUAAUUAUUCUCUGUCACAAUGUGUCUUGAUUUUUUACUUUCUUUUGAUGAGCCGUAGUUAUUAAUUUUAAUAAAAUCUAAUUUAGCAAUAUUUUGUCUUGAUAAUGUUUUUGCUACUUUUAAGUAAAUGUUUGACAAAUCCCAAUGUCAUGAAGAUACUCCUCAAUGUUUUCUGCGGAGACAGAAGUUAAAACAUAGAUCGCUGUAAUGUGUGUUACAAUAACUGCACAAAGAAGAGAGAAAAUGGAGUUACACUGUGGCAAAGUUGCUGUGUUUCAUCAGGCAGACAUCAUUAUAAGCCUAAAGAAGUUUGGGAUAAGUAUAGAUGUAGGUAUAUUCCUAGAACAAAUUCUAGGAAAAUAUGUUGAAAAAAUAGAAUUAGGAAUCAACAAUUGAACUAAAAUAAUACACUACAAAUAUCUGUUAGUAAAGAGGGAGAAAAGAACAAAAAUACAUGAAAAUUACAGAAAACAGCAAUAUGGUAGAUAUAAAUCCAAUAUCAAUAAUUGUAUUAUAUCAAAAGUCAUAAAUGUUCAGACUAGAUUUUUUAAAAAGCAAAGCUGAAGAAUAUGCUGUCUGCACAAGACAUCCUUCAGAUUAAAUGGCACAAAUAGAUAGAAAGUAAAACGAUAGACAAUGUGGACCAUGCAAACAGUAAUGAUGGGAGAGGUGAAGCAACUAUAUGAAUAUCAGACAAAAUACAGUUUAAGACAGUAAAUACUACUACAGACAAAGACAUUUCUUAAUGAUAAAUGAUCACACAUAGAAAGAUAUAACAAUGACAACAUCAUACAUGCUUGAACAAGAGAGUCCCAAAAUACAUGAAGCACAACUGACAAUUAAAAGAAGCAAUAAAGAGUUUAACAAUCGCAGUUAGAUAUCUUAAUAUAUAUCCUCUAGGAGUUGAUUGGAGAAUAGAAAUAAAAUUAGUAAGGAUAUAGAAUAUGUGAACAACACAGUAGCCCAACUCAAUUUGACAUUUGUAGCACAUGACAUCCCAAAACAGCAGAAAUACCCAUUCUUUCUAAGAUAACAUGACACAUUCUCUGGAUAAAUCACAUCCUAGGUCAUAAAACAAGUCUCACUAUAUUUAAAAGGAGUAAUUGUACAAAGUAUGUUCUCUGAUCACAACAUAAUUAGAUUAAAAAUAACUUUAAAUUUAUUUUGGAAAUCAUUUAAUAAUUUAAUUACACAGAUUUUAAUUAAUCAAAAAUCGCAAGUAAAUUAGAAAAUAUUUUCACUGUAAUAAGGAUAAAAACAAAAUAUUACAACCUGUAUGAGACACACCUAAGUAGUUCUCAGAGGGAAAUUUGUAGCUUUAAAUGCUUAUAUGAGAACAAGUAAAACAUCUAAAAAUCAAUAAUAUAAGAUGCCACAUUAUGAAGCCCCAGAAUGAGUAGAAAAUUAACUUCAAGUAAGUAAAAUGAAGGAAAAAAUAAAUAUCAGAACAGAAAUCGUCAAAAUAGAAAACAGAAAAACAAUUA
Molecule: long non-coding RNA, 4772 nt
Organism: Symphalangus syndactylus (siamang)
Lineage: Eukaryota; Metazoa; Chordata; Mammalia; Primates; Hylobatidae
Source: RefSeq, a predicted model, not a curated record